AUUGAACGCUGGCGGCAGGCCUAACACAUGCAAGUCGAGCGAGCGGCGGACGGGUGAGUAAUGCCUAGGAAUCUGCCUGGUAGUGGGGGAUAACUACUGGAAACGGUAGCUAAUACCGCAUACCAUCGGAUGUGCCCAGAUGGGAUUAGCUAGUAGGUGGGGUAAAGGCUCACCUAGGUGACGAUCCCUAGCUGGUCUGAGAGGAUGGCCAGCCACACGGGAACUGAGCCACGGUCCAGACUCCUACGGGAGGCAGCAGUGGGGAAUAUUGGACAAGGGGCGCAAGCCUGAUGCAGCCAUGCCGCGUGUGUGAAGAAGGCCUUCGGGUUGUAAAGCACUUUCAGCGGGGAGGCGUUACCCGCAGAAGAAGCACCGGCUAACUCCGUGCCAGCAGCCGCGGUAAUUC
RNAcentral lists this ribosomal RNA (406 nucleotides) under uncultured bacterium. Its description in RNAcentral is "partial 16S ribosomal RNA". It matches the Rfam family "Bacterial small subunit ribosomal RNA", at positions 30 to 526 of the family's 1533-position model. The record is from RNAcentral.